RNAcentral lists this long non-coding RNA (2581 nucleotides) under Nicotiana tabacum (common tobacco). Its description in RNAcentral is "long non-coding RNA (NTAB_LNC004902)". Lineage: Eukaryota; Viridiplantae; Streptophyta; Magnoliopsida; Solanales; Solanaceae. The record is from RNAcentral.
UGAUCGCAAUAUGAGAAUAAAAAGAUACAAUACUAAAACUAAAACUAAAACUACGGGAAGGAAAAAGUAAAAUGCUCGACUACCUACUAACUUUCUACUCUAAUUCUCGACGUCCACAUCCUCCUAUCAAGGAUUAUGUCCUCGGUAAGCUCAAGUUGUGUCAUAUCUUGCCUAAUCACAUUUUCCCAAUACUUCUUUGGUCUACCUCUACCUCUCCUCAUACCCACCAAGACCAAUCUGUCAGGCCUCCUGACUGAGGCAUCUCUGUGCUUCUCCUCCUCACACGUCUGAGUCACCAGAGUAAUGAUUUUAGAAACCAAUGGCAGUGCAAUCCAUCAAAGAAUGGAUAGACGGUGAGAAAAAGACCAUCCCUGCAUCAUAUUUGAAUAUAGUAAUAAAAGCUAGCCCAACACCUUUUCUAGCUUCCAAAGUUGCUCUCAUAUAUAAGCAUAAGUUGUUUUAAUCCCAAAAUAAAUAAUGCAAAUGAAAACACAUACCAAGAAGAAUAUAACAGCUGUAAAGAUUGGUUUGCAUAUCUUUUCCUUUCUAUCAUGACAUGACUGAAUCUUGUUUACUAGUGCCUUCAACAAUGUUGAUGAAAAGGAAGAUCAGAAUUGCCAAAGCUAAUAUAGAAAUCUGUUGCAUUUUCUUAUGUUCUUUUUCACCAUAAUGUAACUUCUUCUUGGUUGAACUUCCUGGGAGUAAUCCAUAACCACAGCAAGCCAAAACAGAGGAUUGGUUAUUUAGAGGAGGAGUGGGAGUCUCGGCAGGUAGCCAUUUGUAACUACAGGAAUUCACAGUUAAAAUAUCCAAACUGAAUACCAACCAAACAGAUUAAACAAACUGAUUUUUUUUUAAUUUGGUUUUAAAUUUAUAUGGUUUGUUUUGGUUUUAUUUUAUAAAAAAUCAAGGAAAAAUCAAACCAACACGACAAAUUACAUAUACAAAUUUGAUAAAUAUAUAUUAAAAAAUCGAACCGCGAACACUCCCUAUGUGUAACUUAAGACCUCCAAAAGAGCAUCGGUUACCCCUAAUGCUUUGUCAAGUUUAUGAUACCAACAAUAUCCACAUUAUCCAACAGCCACAAUAAUUUCAAUACGCUAAAAUAAGUGCUUAUAGGCAAACCACAAAGCUCAACAAAAUGACUGACUUUAGAAUAAGAGGAAUGGGGAAGAGGAAGAAAAGAAUGAAGAGAAGGUAUAAUCUCAGAUAACACCAUCUCUUCAAACAAGUUAACCACAAGAUAUAUUAGACAGUCAAUUGCAAAACCAAUCACUCCUGCUGUCCGGUAGCCGGUUACAGCUGUUUCUAUUUCCUUCUCAGUUCAAUGGCGGACACAUGUUGUAUGAAGCGGUAUCAUGUGACACCGCUACAUCGGAAAAUUUUACUAAAUACAUAUAAUACUAUGUGGAACAUGUCAUAUACAAAAAAAUGACACCACUUGACAAAGCGUUAUCCUUGGCACACUGGUUAAGUGCUUGAUUUUGCUUGUAGAGGUUAGAGGUUUGGACCUCACUUUGAACACGUUUUUGGCUAAUAUUUGAGCGAGCCUCUAUCGUUAAAAGAUUGUUAUUAAGUAGAAUGGAACCGUGAACCUCUUCUAGCUUAAGACUCAACAAAAGGGAGCUCUUCCUCAUUUACAAAAUUGAUAAUAUAUGUUAUUUGUCUUCUUCUCUAAAUCUUGCUAUGCUACUGCUCAGUCUCACCCGACAAUGCAUAGCGGGCUAGCAUGCCAUUAUAGCCUUACGAACAAAAAUAAAAACCUUACGAAUAAUAUUUCUACUCGGCAUUUCGUCGAGCAUUUUGCAUAUGAAGCAUUCAUCCACACCAGAGUUUCUCCCUAACAACUCAUACUUACACCUCAUUUUCCAAGGAACAAAAUGAAAUAUAACUGGACGAAAAGCCUAAAGUAUUACAAAAUUCUACUUCUAUAGGCAUAAAAUUUCAGUACAAACCCGCGUCACACAAGUGUCAAAUUAAAACACAUGAAGAAUGAACUGCGAUUUUCAACUUUAACUGAACGAAUAAGGUGCAAAUUCAAAACGAAAAUCAAACUCUGAACUAUUAUUAACACCACACAAGCAUAAUCAACAAAUACCUAUUCGGAUUUUGAAAAGAAAAAUGUAAACUUUCGACUCAAUGUGAGCAAACUUUGCAUUAUAUCGUACUCUAAACUCAAAAAGAGAACAUAAUAAUACCAAUAGAUUGGUUGAAGAAUUACCUGAGAAUAGAAACAUUUGAGUACCACGAAGCUCGGAGACGAAAAGAACGGGAAAAGCGCCUGCUAUAUUUAGCUUGUAUUUGUACUUCAGUAAGAGCGAGUUACAAAUGCCAUUACAACUUCAGAUUACGAUUUGUAGGUUGCAUUACUCAGUUGCUAAUUGAUUUCUGAGUCGCAUUUAUAUAUUGCGAAUUUGUUCUUCAAUUCGAUUAUCAGUCGCAUUCGUUAAUCAAAAGUGAUUUAUCAUGCUAAAACAUGAGUCGAUCGCUCGUUAGGGACGGUUUAUAGAUCAUUCGUCAAUUGCUAUUUAUAAGUCGCAUUGUUAAUUUUCCGUUAGUUUAGCUGCAACAACCACAACGC